RNAcentral lists this ribosomal RNA (1056 nucleotides) under uncultured bacterium. RNAcentral describes it as "bacterial SSU rRNA". It matches the Rfam family "Bacterial small subunit ribosomal RNA", at positions 336 to 1394 of the family's 1533-position model. The record is from RNAcentral.
CUCCUACGGGAGGCAGCAGUGAGGAAUAUUGGUCAAUGGGCGAGAGCCUGAACCAGCCAAGUAGCGUGCGGGAUGAAGGCCCUUGUGGUCGUAAACCGCUUUUAUCAGUGAAUAAAGUGCACCACGUGUGGUGUCAUUGCAGGUAGCUGAAGAAAAAGGACCGGCUAAUUCCGUGUCAGCAGCCGCGGUAAUACGGAAGGUCCGGGCGUUAUCCGGAAUUAUUGGGUUUAAAGGGAGCGCAGGCGGGAGUAUAAGUCAGCUGUUAAAUAUCAGAGCCCAACUCUGUUAUGCAGUUGAAACUAUAUUUCUUGAGUACGCACAGGGAUGGCGGAAUUCAGGGUGUAGCGGUGAAAUGCUUAGAUAUCCUGAAGAACUCCGAUCGCGAAGGCAGCCAUCCGGAGCGUAACUGACGCUGAGGCUCGAAGGUGCGGGUAUCGAACAGGAUUAGAUACCCUGGUAGUCCGCACGGUAAACGAUGAAUACUCGCAGUUCGGCCUUUAUGGUCGAGUUGUCCAGCGAAAGCGUUAAGUAUUCCACCUGGGGAGUACGCCGGCAACGGUGAAACUCAAAGGAAUUGACGGGGGCCCGCACAAGCGGAGGAACAUGUGGUUUAAUUCGAUGAUACGCGAGGAACCUUACCCGGGCUUGAACCAAGAGUGCGGAGUGCAGAGAUGCACUUUUUCUUCGGACACUUUUGGAGGUGCUGCAUGGUUGUCGUCAGCUCGUGCCGUGAGGUGUCGGCUUAAGUGCCAUAACGAGCGCAACCCUUUUCUACGUUUGCCAUCGGGUAAUGCCGGGAACUCCGUGGAUACUGCCGCCGCAAGGCGGAGGAAGGUGGGGAUGACGUCAAAUCAGCACGGCCCUUACGUCCGGGGCUACACACGUGUUACAAUGGUCGGAGCAGCAGGAAGCUACCUGGCGACAGGAUGCUGAUCCCGAAACCCGGCCUCAGUUCGGACUGGAGUCUGCAACCCGACUCCACGAAGCCGGAUUCGCUAGUAAUCGCGCAUCAGCCAUGGCGCGGUGAAUACGUUCCCGGGCCUUGUACACACCGCA